GACGUAGGGUGCGAGCGUUGUCCGGAUUUAUUGGGCGUAAAGAGCUCGUAGGCGGCUCGUUGCGUCGGCUGUGAAAACCCGCGGCUCAACUGUGGGCUUGCAGCUGAUACGGGCGGGCUGGAGUUCGGUAGGGGAGACUGGAAUUCCUGGUGUAGCGGUGAAAUGCGCAGAUAUCAGGAGGAACACCGGUGGCGAAGGCGGGUCUCUGGGCCGAUACUGACGCUGAGGAGCGAAAGCGUGGGGAGCGAACAGG
This 253-nucleotide ribosomal RNA is filed under the name uncultured bacterium. RNAcentral's name for it is "partial 16S ribosomal RNA". It matches the Rfam family "Bacterial small subunit ribosomal RNA", at positions 524 to 776 of the family's 1533-position model. The record is from RNAcentral.